RNAcentral lists this ribosomal RNA (254 nucleotides) under uncultured bacterium. RNAcentral describes it as "partial 16S ribosomal RNA". It matches the Rfam family "Bacterial small subunit ribosomal RNA", at positions 524 to 776 of the family's 1533-position model. The record is from RNAcentral.
UACGUAGGGUGCAAGCGUUAAUCGGAAUUACUGGGCGUAAAGCGUGCGCAGGCGGUUCGGAAAGAAAGAUGUGAAAUCCCAGGGCUUAACCUUGGAACUGCAUUUUUUAACUACCGGGCUAGAGUGUGUCAGAGGGGGGUGGAAUUCCACGUGUAGCAGUGAAAUGCGUAGAUAUGUGGAGGAACACCGAUGGCGAAGGCAGCCCCCUGGGAUAACACUGACGCUCAUGCACGAAAGCGUGGGGAGCAAACAGG